UACAGAGGUGGCAAGCGUUGUUCGGAAUUACUGGGCGUAAAGGGCGCGUAGGCGGCCAUCUAAGUCAGACGUGAAAUCCCCCGGCUCAACCUGGGAACUGCGUCUGAUACUGGAAGGCUGGAGUUUGGGAGAGGGAUGUAGAAUUCCAGGUGUAGCGGUGAAAUGCGUAGAUAUCUGGAGGAAUACCGGUGGCGAAGGCGGCAUCCGGGACCAAUAAUGACGCUGAGGCGCGAAAGCUAGGGGAGCAAACGGG
This 253-nucleotide ribosomal RNA is filed under the name uncultured bacterium. RNAcentral describes it as "partial 16S ribosomal RNA". It matches the Rfam family "Bacterial small subunit ribosomal RNA", at positions 524 to 776 of the family's 1533-position model. The record is from RNAcentral.